UAGCCGCUAGCGUACGGUAAGCAGCGUGUGUUCCUGUGCCGAAAGGACCGGGUAACCCGCUCAAUCUCCCUCGUGCUAGGGAUUGAGGCUUGCAAUUGUUUCUCAUGAACGAGGAAUUCCCAGUAAGUGCGAGUCAUCACCUCGCGCUGAUUACGUCCCUGCCCUUUGUACACACCGCAA
This 180-nucleotide ribosomal RNA is filed under the name uncultured eukaryote. Its description in RNAcentral is "partial 18S ribosomal RNA". It matches the Rfam family "Eukaryotic small subunit ribosomal RNA", at positions 1513 to 1674 of the family's 1831-position model. The record is from RNAcentral.